This 243-nucleotide ribosomal RNA is filed under the name uncultured Actinomycetales bacterium. RNAcentral describes it as "partial 16S ribosomal RNA". It matches the Rfam family "Bacterial small subunit ribosomal RNA", at positions 88 to 334 of the family's 1533-position model. Lineage: Bacteria; Bacillati; Actinomycetota; Actinomycetes; Actinomycetales. The record is from RNAcentral.
CACUCGAGUGGCGAACGGGUGAGUAACACGUGGGUGAUCUGCCCUGCACUCUGGGAUAAGCCUGGGAAACUGGGUCUAAUACCGGAUAGGAGCCAUUUUUAGUGUGAUGGUUGGAAAGUUUUUUCGGUGUAGGAUGAGCCCGCGGCCUAUCAGCUUGUUGGUGGGGUAAUGGCCUACCAAGGCGGCGACGGGUAGCCGGACUGAGAGGUUGGUCGGCCACAUUGGGACUGAGAUACGGCCCAG